AUUGAACGCUGGCGGCAGGCCUAACACAUGCAAGUCGAACGGUAACAGGAAGCAGCUUGCUGCUUUGCUGACGCGUGGCGGACGGGUGAGUAGUGUCCGGGAAACUGCCUGAUGGAGGGGGAUAACUACUGGAAACGGUAGCUAAUACCGCAUAACGUCGCAAGACCAAAGAGGGGGACCUCCGGGCCUCUUGCCAUCGGAUGUGACCAGAUGGGAUUAGCUAGUAGGUGGGGUAACGGCUCACCUAGGCGACGAUCCCUAGCUGGUCUGAGAGGAUGAGCAGCCACACUGGAACUGAGACACGGUCCAGACUCCUACGGGAGGCAGCAGUGGGGAAUAUUGCACAAUGGGCGCAAGCCUGAUGCAGCCAUGCCGCGUGUAUGAAGAAGGCCUUCGGGUUGUAAAGUACUUUCAGCGGGGAGGAAGGGAGUAAAGUUAAUACCUUGGCUCAUUGACGUUACCCGCAGAAGAAGCACCGGCUAACUCCGUG
This 490-nucleotide ribosomal RNA is filed under the name uncultured bacterium. Its description in RNAcentral is "partial 16S ribosomal RNA". It matches the Rfam family "Bacterial small subunit ribosomal RNA", at positions 30 to 507 of the family's 1533-position model. The record is from RNAcentral.